Molecule: ribosomal RNA, 253 nt
Filed under: uncultured bacterium
Lineage: Bacteria
Description: partial 16S ribosomal RNA
Rfam family: Bacterial small subunit ribosomal RNA
Source: RNAcentral
UACGAAGGGGGCUAGCGUUGCUCGGAAUUACUGGGCGUAAAGCGAGUGUAGGCGGUCUGAUAAGUCGGGUGUGAAAGCCCCGGGCUCAACCCGGGAAGUGCACUCGAAACUGACAGGCUAGAGUAUCGGAGAGGUUGGUGGAAUUCUCGGUGUAGAGGUGAAAUUCGUAGAUAUCGAGAGGAACACCGGUGGCGAAGGCGGCCAACUGGACGAAUACUGACGCUGAGACUCGAAAGCGUGGGGAGCAAACCGG